RNAcentral lists this non-coding RNA (104 nucleotides) under Paramoeba aestuarina. The record is from RNAcentral. Lineage: Eukaryota; Discosea; Flabellinia; Dactylopodida; Paramoebidae.
UUUUCUUUUUUGUUGUCCCUUGUUUUCUCCUUUCUUCUUUUUGCCCCUGCCUCCUCGUUUGGGAAUAAUCGGGGAAGAGGGAGAGAAACAAAAAUAGAUAACAA